Pocillopora damicornis (cauliflower coral) is the source of this 851-nucleotide RNA transcript. RefSeq lists it as uncharacterized. NCBI's taxonomy places the organism in Eukaryota, Metazoa, Cnidaria, Anthozoa, Scleractinia, Pocilloporidae. The record is from RefSeq and is a predicted model, not a curated record.
AAGCUGAGAAUAAAGAGGUCGAAUUCAACAUGGCGGCGGAUGUGGUUGGGUGUUAUGGAAAAUCACAGCGAAGCUUUGGUAUAAAACCCCGAACAGGAAGGGAAAUUGACAUUUCUUUCAUUUUAAACAUAUUUUAUGGCAUUUGGUGACAUUUGGACUUAAAACAGAUGGAAAUGGCAGCCCCAAAAUAGAGAAAUGAAGGCCAUAUUUCUCUUCAUGUCAGAAAGCUGCAAAAAGAGAAGAAUCUUUCACACUGAAGAAGUAGAAACAAGACAAAAGUAGAACUGUUUUCUUACCAGAAUUGUGAAAAAGAGGAAUGUUCAUGCUGUAUCACAAUAAGAAAAGAUUCUCACUGCUCAAGUAUGGCCAAACCUGGAUUAAAGUGCCUGGGUAAUUGGGACAUCAGUUGGAUUAGAGAAGUGUAGCUCCUGUACACUAUCAAGACCUGCAAAGUAACACAGCCAAUUGACAGGACAUAAAAAGGAGAUAAAUAAGAUAGAAACCUGGCAGAUUUUGAAAGAAAGCAUAGGAGAAGGAACUGAUUCAAGAUCUCUUUCACUUCUAAAGAAAGGAAGUAAGGCCAAUACUGAAAAGUUCACAAGUUUAAAAUGGAGUUCAGAGGAGAAGAGAGUAUCUUUUACUUGUUUUGUUUCCUUUAGAAUUAAGAGGAAGACAGAAGAAAAUAAAAGGUCCAAGAAAGAAUCGGCGUGGAAAAGAAGGAGAAGUUUGCUAACAUUUCGAACUGUCGCGUGCAGAACUCUUGCAGACGAUUGAAACUGGUUUCGAUGCAAAAUGUAAUUGAUUUAUUUUGAGUUGAGCACUACAGAAUAAAACAGCACCGAAGCCGUUCA